RNAcentral lists this ribosomal RNA (610 nucleotides) under uncultured bacterium. Its description in RNAcentral is "bacterial SSU rRNA". It matches the Rfam family "Bacterial small subunit ribosomal RNA", at positions 791 to 1406 of the family's 1533-position model. The record is from RNAcentral.
UAGUCCACGCCCUAAACGAUGUCAACUAGUUGUCGGGUCUUAAUUGACUUGGUAACGCAGCUAACGCGUGAAGUUGACCGCCUGGGGAGUACGGUCGCAAGAUUAAAACUCAAAGGAAUUGACGGGGACCCGCACAAGCGGUGGAUGAUGUGGAUUAAUUCGAUGCAACGCGAAAAACCUUACCUACCCUUGACAUGGCAGGAAUCCUUGAGAGAUCAGGGAGUGCUCGAAAGAGAACCUGCACACAGAUGCUGCAUGGCUGUCGUCAGCUCGUGUCGUGAGAUGUUGGGUUAAGUCCCGCAACGAGCGCAACCCUUGUCAUUAGUUGCUACGAAAGGGCACUCUAAUGAGACUGCCGGUGACAAACCGGAGGAAGGUGGGGAUGACGUCAAGUCCUCAUGGCCCUUAUGGGUAGGGCUUCACACGUCAUACAAUGGUACAUACAGAGGGCCGCCAACCCGCGAGGGGGAGCUAAUCCCAGAAAGUGUAUCGUAGUCCGGAUUGGAGUCUGCAACUCGACUCCAUGAAGUUGGAAUCGCUAGUAAUCGCGGAUCAGCAUGUCGCGGUGAAUACGUUCCCGGGUCUUGUACACACCGCCCGUCACACCAUG